UACGUAGGCAGCGAGCGUUGUUCGGAGUUACUGGGCGUAAAGAGCGCGUAGGCGGCUCGGUAAGUGUGAAGCUAAAUCUCUGGGCUCAACCCAGAAACUAUUUCGCAUACUGCCAAGCUGGAGUGAUGAAGAGGUUUGUGGAAUUCCUGGUGUAGCGGUGAAAUGCGUUGAUAUCAGGAGGAACACCCAUGGCGAAGGCAGCAAACUGGUCAUCAACUGACGCUGAGGCGCGAAAGCGUGGGUAGCAAACAGG
RNAcentral lists this ribosomal RNA (253 nucleotides) under uncultured bacterium. RNAcentral describes it as "partial 16S ribosomal RNA". It matches the Rfam family "Bacterial small subunit ribosomal RNA", at positions 524 to 776 of the family's 1533-position model. The record is from RNAcentral.